Molecule: ribosomal RNA, 253 nt
Filed under: uncultured bacterium
Lineage: Bacteria
Description: partial 16S ribosomal RNA
Rfam family: Bacterial small subunit ribosomal RNA
Source: RNAcentral
UACGGAGGGGGCUAGCGUUGUUCGGAAUUACUGGGCGUAAAGGGCUCGUAGGUGGCCAACUAAGUCAGACGUGAAAUCCCUCAGCUUAACUGGGGAACUGCGUCUGAUACUGGAUGGCUUGAGUUUGGGAGAGGGAUGCGGAAUUCCAGGUGUAGCGGUGAAAUGCGUAGAUAUCUGGAGGAACACCGGUGGCGAAGGCGGCAUCCUGGACCAACACUGACACUGAGGAGCGAAAGCCAGGGGAGCAAACGGG